Molecule: ribosomal RNA, 253 nt
Filed under: uncultured bacterium
Lineage: Bacteria
Description: partial 16S ribosomal RNA
Rfam family: Bacterial small subunit ribosomal RNA
Source: RNAcentral
UACGGGGGGGGCAAGCGUUGUUCGGAAUUACUGGGCGUAAAGGGCUCGUAGGUGGCCAACUAAGUCAGACGUGAAAUCCCUCGGCUUAACCGGGGAACUGCGUCUGAUACUGGAUGGCUUGAAUUCGGGAGAGGGAUGCAGAAUUCCAGGUGUAGCGGUGAAAUGCGUAGAUAUCUGGAGGAAUACCGGUGGCGAAGGCGGCAUCCUGGACCGAGAUUGACACUGAUGAGCGAAAGCCAGGGGAGCAAACGGG